Molecule: long non-coding RNA, 976 nt
Organism: Gymnogyps californianus (California condor)
Lineage: Eukaryota; Metazoa; Chordata; Aves; Accipitriformes; Cathartidae
Exons: 4
Source: RefSeq, a predicted model, not a curated record
GUGUGAAUCCAAGAGGUUUUUUCCUGGAAAGAAGGUGGAAGCAAGGCUGUGAGCCAGGCUGUCAUUAAGAAAUGCAUUAGUAUUGGAAUGUGAAGAAAGAUCUUACAACCAGCAUUUCCACAGCGACGUUAAACGCAGCCAAGAGCAGACCAUGACUAUUGUGGUGUUUGAAAAUGUUGGAGUCUGAGCUGCCUCCAGGGCCAAUUCCUCAGCUGGCGCAAGUUUGUGCUGGAAACCUGCUAUCCACACUGCUCCUUCGAGGGACAAGGAGAGGUGAGCAAGUCGAGGCUGCUGCUCCCUCUGCCGACUCCGGCUGAGAGCCAGAGGCUCAGCCCCGGGGCGAGCUCCCGGGCCCGAGUCCCAGCCGGUACCUGUGCCCGACCCCACCACGAGCAUCUCCGAGGGUGGAAGCCACGCUACCAGAAGAGCUGCUUUGAUCCCUUUAAUCCUUUAGCAACCAUGUGUGUUUUCUAAAGAGGUUUUCUGUAUGUCCCGGGGGUAUAAAAUCACAAUGGGAAAGAAGUGCUGCUUAUAAACUGUAAGCAACUGCAAUCUGCCUCCAGCUCUGUUGGUAACACCCUAUGGAUAUUUGCUUCUCGGAGAUUAGAGGAACAAAGCAAGAAGAGAGCAGCGUUCCAUUACGGUAGAGCAUAUAAUAUUGUGAUUAUUACUCAUGCCCUCCGUCUAAUUAAUCAUUUUGUGUGUUAUUUGAAGGCAAACAGGGCCUUUGGUUCAUUAUCGCUUAUACAUACACAGAACUGGAGUCACUUCAGUGCUGUCAGACUUGGUUAAUCCCUGCCUGGGUUUUGUACAUGUCUGGGUAUCUGAAUCAUGUACAUGGCAAAUGAUCUACUAAUAUGUUUGCUCCACCAGUUUGUUCAUAUGGAGCCAAAUAUAUGAAAGCAUUCAAACUCCGGAAAGUGCAGAUAUGGUCCUAAUGGACUUGACAAAGGCACCUAAUGUUAAAGGUUGUGAA